RNAcentral lists this ribosomal RNA (468 nucleotides) under uncultured bacterium. RNAcentral describes it as "partial 16S ribosomal RNA". It matches the Rfam family "Bacterial small subunit ribosomal RNA", at positions 28 to 507 of the family's 1533-position model. The record is from RNAcentral.
GAUGAACGCUGGCGGCGUGCUUAACACAUGCAAGUCGAACGGAAAGGCCCAAGCUUGCUUGGGUACUCGAGUGGCGAACGGGUGAGUAACACGUGGGUGAUCUGCCCUGCACUUCGGGAUAAGCCUGGGAAACUGGGUCUAAUACCGGAUAGGACGAUGGUUUGGAUGCCAUUGUGGAAAGUUUUUUCGGUGUGGGAUGAGCUCGCGGCCUAUCAGCUUGUUGUUGGGGUAAUGGCCUACCAAGGCGUCGACGGGUAGCCGGCCUGAGAGGGUGUACGGCCACAUUGGGACUGAGAGACGGCCCAGACUCCUACGGGAGGCAGCAGUGGGGAAUAUUGCACAAUGGGCGCAAGCCUGAUGCAGCGACGCCGCGUGGGGGAUGACGGCCUUCGGGUUGUAAACUCCUUUCGCUAGGGACGAAGCGUUUUUGUGACGGUACCUGGAGAAGAAGCACCGGCUAACUACGUG